GGCUGGAAUUUUUGGCCAGUAGCUCAUUAAUGCAUGUUCAUGCACAAUAAAUAGCAUUAAGCCAGAGGCUGUUGAAAUACUAUAUUUGAUCUGAAAGGAGAGACACUACCGCUAGGAGCUUAUGCUAAAGGAAGAUGAACCCUUUAGAGUGGAAGGCAGAAUCCCAGCUAAAACCAUGCUUCCCUACCAAACGCCAAGAAAAAACUCUUGGCAUAGACUUGAAGCUCCUUGCCUAGAGGACGUUUCUUCUGGGAACUCUAUCUCUACUUUCCACAGGUCCAACCUUUGUCUCGACUAUAAUCACAUGGUAUUUUCUGAGCCAAAAGUGUCCAACUGACCCAGAAUUCCUGAGCCACAACACAGGUAAGAAGUCAAAAAAAUUGCUUUAAACAACAGAUUUUGUCCAUUUCUCCAACUGUGUACUCCAUAUUCAGAGUAAAUUCUUUUUCUGUCCAAUUUAAUUGAAGUUUUUUCCAUUCUCUGACUUGGUUUAAGAACAAGCACUGUUGAGACAUGACUUAAUUAUGCCCAUAAAUAUGGGGCAGUAUUUUCUGGGAAGUUCUGGAAAAGGAAUUAAACGUGUACUAAAAAAUUCAUUUUCUUCCACUAGAUAUCUUCUUCAGAAAUGGUGCUAAUCUGUAAAAAGCACAUUGGGAGUGACAGAAUAAAAAGAAAGAACCUGAGUCUUUCA
This 691-nucleotide long non-coding RNA is filed under the name Felis catus (domestic cat). RNAcentral's name for it is "lncRNA (ENSFCAG00000044512.2)". Lineage: Eukaryota; Metazoa; Chordata; Mammalia; Carnivora; Felidae. The record is from RNAcentral.